UGGGUAGUCCGCACGAGCGCACCCUACUUUAUUUGCCAUCAGGUCAUGCUGGGGACUCUAAAGGGACUGCCGGCGUAAGCCGCGAGGAAGGUGGGGACGACGUCAAGUCAUCACGGCCCUUACGUCCUGGGCCACACACGUGCUACAAUGGUAGGUACAGAGGGCAGCUACCCCGCGAGGGGAUGCAAAUCUCUAAAGCCUAUCUCAGUUCGGAUUGGAGUCUGCAACUCGACUCCAUGAAGCUGGAAUCGCUAGUAAUCGCGCAUCAGCCAUGGCGCGGUGAAUACGUUCCCGGGCCUUGUACACACCGCCCGUCAAACCAUGGAAGCUGGGGGUACCUGAAGUCGGUAACCGUAAGGAGCCGCCUAGGGUAAAACUGGUAACUAGGGUUAAGUCGUAACAAGGUAGCCGUACCGGAAGGUGCGGCUGGAACAUAUCUUUUUU
RNAcentral lists this ribosomal RNA (444 nucleotides) under uncultured Bacteroidota bacterium. Its description in RNAcentral is "bacterial SSU rRNA". It matches the Rfam family "Bacterial small subunit ribosomal RNA", at positions 1077 to 1533 of the family's 1533-position model. The record is from RNAcentral. Lineage: Bacteria; Pseudomonadati; Bacteroidota.